UACGGAGGGUGCGAGCGUUAAUCGGAAUUACUGGGCGUAAAGCGCACGCAGGCGGUUUGUUAAGCUAGAUGNGAAAGCCCCGGGCUCAACCUGGGAUGGUCAUUUAGAACUGGCAGACUAGAGUCUUGGAGAGGGGAGUGGAAUUCCAGGUGUAGCGGUGAAAUGCGUAGAUAUCUGGAGGAACAUCAGUGGCGAAGGCGACUCCCUGGCCAAAGACUGACGCUCAUGUGCGAAAGUGUGGGUAGCGAACAGG
Molecule: ribosomal RNA, 253 nt
Filed under: uncultured bacterium
Lineage: Bacteria
Description: partial 16S ribosomal RNA
Rfam family: Bacterial small subunit ribosomal RNA
Source: RNAcentral